This 679-nucleotide ribosomal RNA is filed under the name uncultured fungus. Its description in RNAcentral is "SSU rRNA". It matches the Rfam family "Eukaryotic small subunit ribosomal RNA", at positions 626 to 1312 of the family's 1831-position model. The record is from RNAcentral. Lineage: Eukaryota; Fungi.
GCUCGUAGUUGAAUUUUGGCCUCAGUCAGCCGGUCCGCCGAAAAGCGAGUACUGUCCUGCCUGGGGUCCACCUUUUGGCGACGCGGUCUGCCCUUCAUUGGGUGGGCCGCGCGGCCAAAACUUUUACUUUGAAAAAAUUAGAGUGUUCAAAGCAGGCUUACGCUUGAAUACAUUAGCAUGGAAUAAUAGAAUAGGACUUUGGUUCUAUUUUGUUGGUUUAAAGAACCGAAGUAAUGAUUAAUAGGGACAGUUGGGGGCAUUAGUAUUUCAGGGCUAGAGGUGAAAUUCUUGGAUUCCUGAAAGACUAACUACUGCGAAAGCAUCUGCCAAGGAUGUUUUCAUUAAUCAAGGACGAAAGUUAGGGGAUCGAAAACGAUUAGAUACCGUUGUAGUCUUAACCAUAAACUAUGCCGACUCAGGAUCAGUGGACGUUUUUUUGACUCCAUUGGCACUGUAGGAGAAAUCAAAGUUUUUGGGCUCCGGGGGGAGUACGGAUCGCAAGACUGAAACUUAAAGGAAUUGACGGAAGGGCACCACCAGGAGUGGAGCCUGCGGCUUAAUUUGACUCAACACGGGGAAACUCACCAGGUCCAGACAUAGUAAGGAUUGACAGAUUGAGAGCUCUUUCUUGAUUCUAUGGGUGGUGGUGCAUGGCCGUUCUUAGUUGGUGGAGUGAUCU